CGUCGACCGGCGCACGGGUGAGUAACGCGUAUCCAACCUGCCCUUUACUUGGGGAUAACCCGUUGAAAGACGGACUAAUACCCAAUGAUAUUCAUUGAUGACAUCUGAUUUGAAUUAAAGAUUUAUCGGUAUAGGAUGGGGAUGCGUCUGAUUAGCUUGUUGGUGAGGUAACGGCUCACCAAGGCAACGAUCAGUAGGGGUUCUGAGAGGAAGGUCCCCCACAUUGGAACUGAGACACGGUCCAAACUCCUACGGGAGGCAGCGCG
Molecule: ribosomal RNA, 266 nt
Filed under: uncultured Prevotella sp.
Lineage: Bacteria; Pseudomonadati; Bacteroidota; Bacteroidia; Bacteroidales; Prevotellaceae
Description: partial 16S ribosomal RNA
Rfam family: Bacterial small subunit ribosomal RNA
Source: RNAcentral